CAACCACAGAAGACCUGAUAAGCCCACUAGAAUUUAUCGAUAUCGUAUCGAUUUCCGAGGGGUUGUUAACUUCUAACCAAUAUUUCAAUAAGUAAUUAUCAUGCAAAAAUAAUGAAAAUGCUAUGUAAUUAAAGCUUAAUUAAUAAACUUUACAAUGAUAUAAAUUUCUUUAUUAUUUGUUCAUUGUUUGUUGAUUAAGACUAUUGAUAAUUAGUUUGACUAUUGGAUGCUUUGAAGCGUCGGUAUCGAGCGAGCUCCCGGCGGCGUUUUAGUAAACAUGUGUGAAAUCAAAGUUGAAUGCGAUCGUAGUUUCGUAACAUAUGCAAAUGAUUUUCAUUUGACCAAUCAAAUAAAAGAUUGUUGUUUACAAUGAUGUAAGCCGCUUAGUUCUACGACAAAAAAUAAUGAAACAAUAAAGCCCUAAAGUUAGACGAAAAUGGAACGAAAAGUAUAGAAAAUUCAUAAUAGCGGCAUAUAUCGUAAAAAAAUUCAAUUUCUGCUGGUUAAAAUGGUGUAUAAAUUGUUAAAAUUGAGUAGAAAUUGACGAUCGCAUCGUGAUUCGAGAGUGCGGGGUCAUCAAGGCCACGCGGUUGAGAUUUUUUUUCCAUACGACGCCAUCUUGAAAAAUUCCAAAAUUGUUUACUCGCUGUAGUUGAAUCGAUAAAUAUAUCGAUUUAAUUGUUCGAAACAGAAACCAACUAUGCAGUGUGACGGAGACAUACACCCUGGUCCGUUCUGUCAAGAAUACAACGUUAAGAUUUCAUUCAUGGCUGUGCAAAGCUGAAGAGUGUCCUCCGAGACUGUCAAAUGUAGACAUUAAAAAUGGACUUGUUUUGGAGCUUGUGCAUUUUGCAUCACACCAAAAGUUGAAUGCAUGAACCCGGGGCGCCAGAGGUUCUUCAAGGAUUACAUUGAACUCAAUGAACUGUAUAACAAAUACAAAGAGUGUUUUUUCACAUAAAUGUGCUGUUGCAUUUAAACAAUAAAUUCAGCUGCUACUAUAGAUGUAUGAAUUCACAGAUUGACAACCCCUUAUUUUUUAAGCAAGUGUUACAUAUAUUACACAAUGAAAUUCGUUCAAGUUGUAUUGCAGGGCUUACAUUGUUGCAGCUGAUGUUCAUAUCUUUAUUACACUUAAGAUUAAUGUAUCUAUUAUAUAACAUGUGUUAUUGAAUUAUUGAUAUAUUGUUUGAAUAUACCAUAGCAUGUUUGAUUAUGCAAAAAAACUGAACAAAACUAUAAUACGUAUAAAAAAAGAUCUUGAAUAAAGUUGGUAAACAUA
Long non-coding RNA from Dreissena polymorpha, 1282 nucleotides. RefSeq lists it as uncharacterized. NCBI's taxonomy places the organism in Eukaryota, Metazoa, Mollusca, Bivalvia, Myida, Dreissenidae. The record is from RefSeq and is a predicted model, not a curated record. The transcript has 2 exons.